CCUACGGGAGGCAGCAGUGGGGAAUAUUGCACAAUGGGGGAAACCCCGAAGCAGCGAAGCCGCGUGAGUGAAGAAGUAUUUCGGUAUGGAAAGCCCUGUCAGCAGGGAAGAAAAUGACGGUACCUGACCAAGAAUCCCCGGCUAACUACGUGACAGCUGCCGCGGUAAUACGUAGGGGGCAAGCGUUAUCCGGAUUUAAUGGGGGUAAAGGGGGCGUAGACGGCAGGGCAAGUCUGGAGUGAAAGGCGGGGGCUCAAGCCCCGGACUGCUCUGGAAACUGCCAGGCUGGAGUGCAGGUGAGGUAAGUGGAAUUCCUAGUGUAGCGGUGAAAUGCGUAGAUAUUAGGAGGAACACCAGUGGCGAAGGCGGCUUACUGGACUGUAACUGACGUUGAGGCUCGAAAGCGUGGGGAGCAAACAGGAUUAGAUACCCCGGUAGUC
Molecule: ribosomal RNA, 440 nt
Filed under: uncultured bacterium
Lineage: Bacteria
Description: partial 16S ribosomal RNA
Rfam family: Bacterial small subunit ribosomal RNA
Source: RNAcentral